Long non-coding RNA from Ipomoea nil (Japanese morning glory), 973 nucleotides. RefSeq lists it as uncharacterized. The record is from RefSeq and is a predicted model, not a curated record. The transcript is spliced from 3 exons. Lineage: Eukaryota; Viridiplantae; Streptophyta; Magnoliopsida; Solanales; Convolvulaceae.
GCCGUAGGCCGUAGCCAAUCCCACGGCAACCUCAUGCUCUUGGGUUUCUAGAAGCCCUUAGAACACCAUAUUUCUCUACUUACAUGGUUACCCAAUCCUAGGGAAAAAAUAAACAAAUAUUGGGGUGGUUGGGGAUUCAACAGAACAAAGAUAAACGAAUAUUGGGGUUUCGAGCCUAAAUCCCUCGUAUCCCCCGCCAAGCAGCGUUUUCUCUCACAGUCAACUGCCAUCUAUACGAUUUCAAGCUGAUCUCCUGCUUCAAUUCUUCCGAUUUCACGGCUCAUUGGCCCCCGUUUCGGUUGAGAAGGCGUGAUUCCCUUCGUUUGCAAGCCGAAGGUGCCAUGGCGGGGGUGAUAAUGAAGUUCUUCAUUGCAUCCGCAUUUAUGUGGGCAAUUCCUCUUGCAAUUCUAUACGGUUUUAACCAUAAUUUGUUUCCCGGUUUGAAUGAUAUGUCACCCUACUCUAUGACAUUGUUGAGCGGGUUCCUUGCCAUCAUUUCAGUCAAUGUGGUUAUUGCCUUGUAUAUUUGUAUGGCAAUGAGGGAACCCUCAGAUAGGCACAAGCCAGAUCCCAAAUUCCUGGCAGAUGCCAAAGCUAGCAUAAAUCAGUCUGAACAAAACGAAGCUGAAAAUUCAUCAGCAGCACACACAAAAAAAGAAUAGGCCACCAAUCAUUAUCAGGAAUUUAGAACUUUCAGAUUUUGGAAACACCUAGAAUUAGAAAGUUGGAAAACUCGGGAUAAAGUUCUCCAGCCUUUUUUUUUUUUUUUUUUUUUUUUUUUUUGAUAUUUAUGGAUACUGUGGUUUUGUAGAAAUGGGAUUUUUCAGGUUUCAAUAACCUACCUUCUAAACAGGAUUUAAAACAACUUUUGCUCAUGGGGAAUUCAGUCAAUUUGUGCCCCAGAGUAUGUCACGGCAUGUUUUGCGGUUAUUGUGUUAUUGAUAAAAAAUGUUUCCUAGGUGGAUUGUUGGCA